UUUUAUUGUCGAAAUUUAAUU
This is a non-coding RNA of Caenorhabditis elegans, 21 nucleotides long. NCBI's taxonomy places the organism in Eukaryota, Metazoa, Nematoda, Chromadorea, Rhabditida, Rhabditidae. The record is from Ensembl.